RNAcentral lists this ribosomal RNA (311 nucleotides) under uncultured soil bacterium. Its description in RNAcentral is "bacterial SSU rRNA". It matches the Rfam family "Bacterial small subunit ribosomal RNA", at positions 26 to 366 of the family's 1533-position model. The record is from RNAcentral.
AGAACGAACGCUGGCGGCAUGCCUAACACAUGCAAGUCGAACGGGCCCUUCGGGGCUAGUGGCGCACGGGUGCGUAACGCGUGGGAAUCUGCCCUUAGGUUCGGAAUAACUCAGGGAAACUUGAGCUAAUACCGUAUAAUGACUUCGGUCCAAAGAUUUAUCGCCUAGGGAUGAGCCCGCGUAGGAUUAGCUUGUUGGUGAGGUAAAGGCUCACCAAGGCGACGAUCCUUAGCUGGUCUGAGAGGAUGAUCAGCCACACUGGGACUGAGACACGGCCCAGACUCCUACGGGAGCAGCAGUGGGGAAUAGUU